RNAcentral lists this ribosomal RNA (964 nucleotides) under Salmonella enterica. Its description in RNAcentral is "partial 23S ribosomal RNA". It matches the Rfam family "Bacterial large subunit ribosomal RNA", at positions 667 to 1547 of the family's 2925-position model. Lineage: Bacteria; Pseudomonadati; Pseudomonadota; Gammaproteobacteria; Enterobacterales; Enterobacteriaceae. RNAcentral also lists the same sequence under 3 other names. The record is from RNAcentral.
CGGAGGGAAACCGAGUCUUAAUUGGGCGUUAAGUUGCAGGGUAUAGACCCGAAACCCGGUGAUCUAGCCAUGGGCAGGUUGAAGGUUGGGUAACACUAACUGGAGGACCGAACCGACUAAUGUUGAAAAAUUAGCGGAUGACCUGUGGCUGGGGGUGAAAGGCCAAUCAAACCGGGAGAUAGCUGGUUCUCCCCGAAAGCUAUUUAGGUAGCGCCUCGUGAAUUCAUCUCCGGGGGUAGAGCACUGUUUCGGCUAGGGGGCCAUCCCGGCUUACCAACCCGAUGCAAACUGCGAAUACCGGAGAAUGUUAUCACGGGAGACACACGGCGGGUGCUAACGUCCGUCGUGAAGAGGGAAACAACCCAGACCGCCAGCUAAGGUCCCAAAGUCAUGGUUAAGUGGGAAACGAUGUGGGAAGGCCCAGACAGCCAGGAUGUUGGCUUAGAAGCAGCCAUCAUUUAAAGAAAGCGUAAUAGCUCACUGGUCGAGUCGGCCUGCGCGGAAGAUGUAACGGGGCUAAACCAUGCACCGAAGCUGCGGCAGCGAACGUAUCACCCAAGACAACUUUACGGAGUUGACGAUUGACGGAGCGAAGCGACGUCAAAGCGUUCAUUAAAGUCGAGUUGGCUUAGGGAUACGUUCGUUGGGUAGGGGAGCGUUCUGUAAGCCUGUGAAGGUGUGUCGUGAGGCAUGCUGGAGGUAUCAGAAGUGCGAAUGCUGACAUAAGUAACGAUAAAGCGGGUGAAAAGCCCGCUCGCCGGAAGACCAAGGGUUCCUGUCCAACGUUAAUCGGGGCAGGGUGAGUCGACCCCUAAGGCGAGGCCGAAAGGCGUAGUCGAUGGGAAACGGGUUAAUAUUCCCGUACUUGGUGUUACUGCGAAGGGGGGACGGAGAAGGCUAUGUUGGCCGGGCGACGGUUGUCCCGGUUUAAGCGUGUAGGUGUGUGUUCCAGGUAAAUCCGGUU